Molecule: ribosomal RNA, 459 nt
Filed under: uncultured bacterium
Lineage: Bacteria
Description: bacterial SSU rRNA
Rfam family: Bacterial small subunit ribosomal RNA
Source: RNAcentral
AACGAACGCUGGCGGCAGGCCUAACACAUGCAAGUCGAGCGAACCCUUCGGGGUUAGCGGCGGACGGGUUAGUAACGCGUGGGAAUAUACCCUUUGGUACGGAAUAGCCUCGGGAAACUGAGAGUAAUACCGUAUGUGCCCUUCGGGGGAAAGAUUUAUCGCCAAAGGAUUAGCCCGCGUUGGAUUAGAUAGUUGGUGGGGUAAUGGCCUACCAAGUCUACGAUCCAUAGCUGGUUUGAGAGGAUGAUCAGCAACACUGGGACUGAGACACGGCCCAGACUCCUACGGGAGGCAGCAGUGGGGAAUCUUAGACAAUGGGCGCAAGCCUGAUCUAGCCAUGCCGCGUGGACGAUGAAGGCCUUAGGGUUGUAAAGUCCUUUCAGAUGGGAAGAUAAUGACGGUACCAUCAGAAGAAGCCCCGGGCUAACUCCGUGCCAGCAGCCGCGGUAAUGUAGACGU